RNAcentral lists this long non-coding RNA (6605 nucleotides) under Gossypium barbadense (sea-island cotton). RNAcentral describes it as "long non-coding RNA (GBAR_LNC002778)". Lineage: Eukaryota; Viridiplantae; Streptophyta; Magnoliopsida; Malvales; Malvaceae. The record is from RNAcentral.
UUACAUUAGAGGCAACCUUUAGAGACAAACAAUCUGUCAUGCUGAAUUCAGUCAAAAAAUGUGCCCUACAUGCUACAACUAGUCCCCAGGCUGUUGGUUAUGCUGUGCUGUAAUCAAAUAGUUCCACGGGGGAGAAAGAAAAUACUAAACCUGACAGCUGACGGAAUUUCCGGUAUGUGUUGCUAUAUAUGGAUAACCUUAGAGAUGAAUCUGUUUCCGUUCCACAUUUUUCUUGGCAUGUAAAUUCAUGUUUCUUUGCAUAUAUUGACUAUUCAUUAUUAUGUAUAAUGUGUUGAAGGACAGAUUUGAUAGCAUCAACCAUUAAGCUCAAGUCAUUUUGUUUAUUUAGUUUUUUCUUUUUUUGUAUCGAUGAGCUUUUUCAUAGUAUAAGAUUGAUAUUGUUUCACCAUUGAUGUUAGAGGCAAGCUUGAGACAUGUAAUCUGUUAUACCAUGACCAGAAACAUAUAAAUUUGGGCUACCUUGACCUUCUGUGUUGACUUGAAAAAGAAAAUGAAAAUAAACUAAGGGGCAUGAAUAUAUCUUUUUUGACACUGUUUUUCAAGGUCAAAAUCUUAGCAAUAACAUACAUGAAGGUAUAUUUGUUACGUGCAUAUAUUUACUUAUUAUUGAUUAUUAAAGUCUCAUUCUCACCCCCUUUUUUCAUCUUACCUAUGUAGCUGACAAAUUGGGGGUAAAGGAUAAGGUAUCAGAACAAAAGGAAAUUUGUUGUAAAUUGUAAUGUUGGUACAGGUACUCUGAACCCAUAAUUCUCAUGUCACUGAAAAAAUCGUAAUGGCAGGAUACGCAUCUCUAAGGCUUCUCAAUAGCUAAGGCAUGAAAAUAUGUAUUAGACUGUAGGAAACACCCUUCAACUAGUAUAUAUAGAGAAAAUAUGUCGCAUGGACUUGCUUACAGAAAGUGAACAAAGCUGGUCUGAACUUUCCAUGUUACUUUAUAAUAUCUUGAGAUUUAAGAUCACCACUUCACAACGCAAAUCAGUGGCUGUCCCACCCUGAACUGAUAUUUGUUUGCAGGAGCUGUCCGUAAUGCAAUAUGCCAGGUAUCGAUGGUUAAAUUGUAGGGGCAACUCUGUGGACUAGUCUACAUUAUCAAAAGUUCCACUGUCAAAUUCCUGUUUAUCUUCAUUACCUCCAGACACCAAAACAAGCAAGUUGAUCAGCUCAUGUGAUGCUGUUGCUUGACACAUCCUAAAGGAGAGUGAUGGUAAAAAUCGGGGACUAAUCUGACAAUACAGUAUAUUUAAUGGGUACAUUAAGCUAAAUAAUAUGCGACUUUUUUCCUUAAAAUGAUCAAAUCCACCACAAAUUGUCAAAGAUAAAAGGAAAUUUAACAUUUCAUUGUAUCAGCCAACUUAGAAACUUUUAUAGGUAAAAGCAUACCAUUUAAUGAAAUAACAUGGUCCCUUACCUCAGAUCUUUAUAUAUCUUAAUCAAUUGUCAAAGCUGGUUAAGCAAAUUUGUUAUGAAAAUUAUGAAACUAAAUACAUGUAGUUUAUAUAUUAUGCAGAUUUGAGGGUGAAUGUUGGAGGAUUAUAAUCUCGUACUUACAUCUGAAUAUGUGUUGGAUAUAGGUGUUAGAACAGAUAUUUUAAGAAAAAUGAAGAGUUUAUAUUAAUUAGCUUGUAUGUUGAAGUAAUUUGUGAACAAUGUAAAUCAUUUACAAUUAAAUUAUAUAUGAAACCAACAAUAAAAAGGGGACCAUAGGAAAUUAUAACAAGAAAUAAAAUUUCAAUUGAAUGAUGUGUUCCAAACUGUUACAGAAGCCACCAUCUCUACUAUUCCACUUAGGGGGACUUAUUAUCUGCUCCCCAAGGCAAAAAGGAUGGGAAAAAAGUGUAAAUGGUGUUAGUGAUGUUUGCUUUACAGAAAUGUAUGAGCUGAUUUGACAUAAUUCAAGCGAGAGGUAACAUCAAGAAAGAUAUCUUCGUUGCAGGGAAUUGUGAGACCGCCAGUAGGAUGACUAUAUCCGAACUCUUCUUGUGACAUGCCUAGCAAAUCUUGAAAUGAAGGCUGGUUCAAGAAUGAAAUUGGUAUCACAAACCUCUUCUGGUUUUCUCCAACAUAAACCGCAAAGUAGCCCUUGGGAACUUUCUUAGAGCUAAUGAUAUGAGGUAGGUGGAUAGCCAUUGCUGUUUUUGAUAGAUUUAUGCUUCUCAAAGGGAAGAAAAGGAAGAACUCAGAUAACUAGGAAAGCAAGCUUGAGAAUGUUGAAGGUAGGAGUUGGCAAUGAACUUAAUCCUACUUGUAUAUAUAGAUGUAUAGGGUAGAGAGGAAAUCAUAUUCUUCUAUUAUUAAGUGGGGGAUGUGCAAUGAGUGGUGAAGGUGCAAUUGCUGGGGUCUGAUCAGUAAUGAGAUGGGCAUGGGCUAAUGGGGACUCACAUGGUGUUGUCUUCCAAGGAAUUAUCAAGAAUUCCAUGUCAAAUACUUGAAUGAAUGGUUUUCCUACCUUGCCGGCAAAAUGAACCGACCAAGGACCUACUCAGAUUUGGAAGAUUUGGAUCCAUUAAUAUAGCUUCUUCCUAAUAGAAUAUUUUUAUUACUUCACUAAUGACAAUAGAGGCAACCUUUAGAGACAUACAAUCUGUCAUGCAAUGAUAGAGAACAAAUAACAUGGAUGACUUUGACCUCCUAUUUCAUACAGACUUCACAUAAAACUUGUAAGACAAACCCUUGUGAAGAGCGCCUGAAGUGUGUCCUACAGGCUACAAAAACUCCUCAUCUGAACCCAACUUGUUGCGUUUUAUCCAGGUUUGUUGUCUAUGCCGUGCUGCAAUCAAAUAGUUCCAUAGGGGUGAAGACAAUUAGUCCACAAUUCUGGUGGCAUGUUUGUUGUGUUCUUAGCAUAUUUUGACUAUUCGUUAUUAUAUUGGGGAGAACAGUUGUCAGGUCAAAGUCAGAAAGCUAUUCAAACUACAACAAAUUUCAAUGAAGGCUUCUUCUGCACAUGGGACUGUGAGACUACCCCUUGGAUGAUCAAAGCCAAACUCCUCUUCCAGCCUGAUUUAUCAAUUCUUAAAAUGAAGGGUGCUUCAAGAAUGAAAUUGGAUGGCCUUUGGUUAUUUAUGAAGCUGCUGUCACCUUUUGGAUAAGCUGCUUUGUGUGAACAAGUGCAGGUACUGACAAACACGCAAGUCUUAUGAACUGAGAAAUGUUGCAAGGGCAGAAUACGUUCAUCUCUAAGGCUCCUGAAUAGCUAAUGCAAAAAAUAUAUAUAUGAAAGAGUUGGUAGCCCUCUUACUCUUAUCUCAAAAUGGUCACAAAUCUAUUUGGUGUUACAUUCAGUCAUUUGUAUGUUUGUUUCCAUACAUGACUGGAGUUUAAAGUAGUUGAAAUUUUCUUGAAUUUAACCAAUGAUGAUUAAUCAUUGUUAGAAUUAUGUGACCUAAAUUCUAAGAGAUUGCUUGCAAGUCAAGUUAAACAAAAAUAUAUUUUCUUUCUAGAAGAUUUAGUAUUUAUUAGUAUAAUAUAUUUAGCAUUUAUUAGUAUAGUUUAUUUGACUUACUAAUUUAGCCUAUAAAUAGGCUCAUUUACAAUCUUAGAAUUAAAGAGACACCCAUUAGAUUAGAACUCAUAACACAUUCAGAGAAUUUUGUGUUUACGUUUGAGGGUUCUUUGUUUUUCGGGUUUUCGGGGUUUAGUUUUUAUCUCCAUCUUUUGUACUCUUCAUUCUUUUGCCAUUAUAGUAAAAUUAUCUUUGCCCGUGGUUUUUUAUCCUCUUUUGAGGGGUUUUUCCACGUUAAAUUUGUGUGUUCAUCUUCUCAAUUUCUUCUACUAUUUUUACUUGUUCGUUGCUUAAUCGGGAUGAUCCUAACAAGUGAUAUCAGAGCUAGUUUAACUUUCAUAGAUCAGCCCGGUCAGAGAUGGCAGCAACAAGGUUUGAAAUUGAGAAGUUCGAUGGUGAGACAAAUUUCAAUCUGUGGCAAGUUCGGAUGAUGGCAAUUCUAGUUCAAAAUGGCUUGAAAAAGGUUGUUACAGGGAAAAAGCCUGAGAAUCUAAAUCAAACAGAAUGGGAAGAGCUUGAUGAAAAGGCCUUGUCUGCAAUCCAGUUGUGCCUCGCGAAUACAGUAUUGCAGGAGGUAUUGAUGGAGAAGACCUCAUUCGCCUUGUGGAAAAGGUUAGAAACUCUUUAUGCGACUAAGUCUCUGGCUAACCGUUUAGUGUUGAAACAACAUCUAUUUACGUUUCGCAUGAACGAAGGUGAGCUUCUUAAAGAUCACAUCAGUCAAUUCAUUACUCUUUUAAAUGAUUUAAAGAACGUUGAGGUUCAUAUUGACGAUGAAGAUCAAGCUAUGCUAUUAUUGUGCUCUUUACCCUCUUAUACAAGUCUUUCAGGGAGACCCUGAUUUAUAGCAGAUAGACAAGCUUCCAUUUUGGUAGCAUCAAAGAAACGAGACAAAAGGUGUCGCUAUUACAAAAAGUUAGGUCACGUCAAAGCAGAUUGUUAUAAACUGCGAAAUAAAAGAGCUGCUGAGAGUAACGAGAAAGAUGUAGCUGGUGCUAAUUUGGUCAAUGAAGGCGGUGAUGAUUUCUUGUUAGUGUCAACGAGCGAUAACUCCAAGCUUACGUCUGAGUGGAUCCUAGAUUCAGGAUGUUCUUUCCACAUGUGUCCCAAUAGAGAAUGGUUCUCCACAUACAGUUCAGUUGAAGGUGGAGUUGUGCACAUGGGAAACGAUUCAUCUAGUAAAAUAAUCGGUAUUGGUACUGUUAAAAUUAGGAUACACGAUGGGACGAUUAGGACACUCUCAGAUGUUAGGUAUGUACCUGAUUUACGAAAGAAUCUCAUCUCCUUGAGUAUUUUAGACUUGAAAGGAUGCAGAAUCAACAUCGAGUCGAGCGACAUUAAAGUAUCUCGUGGAGCUCUCGUUUUGUUAAAAGGUAAAAGAACCGACAGUCUUUAUAUUCUGGAAGGUUCUACAGUGACCGGUGAAAUCAGACGUCCCUCGUCCGUUACGGAGUCAAAGUCAACUCAUUUGAAGUGGAGGCAACUUGGUCAUAGGAGGGAAAAAGGUAUGACUGUUUCGUUGAAGAGAGGUUCUCUUUUGGAUGCAGGUUUUGAAAAGUUAGGGCACUGUAUUCGUGAAAAUCAGACCCGGGUUAGUUUUGAUUUGGCAGUGCACAAGUCGAAGGCUAGAAGUCUUCCAGCUUCUAAGCAUAGAUUCGACUCAGUUAAUUCCCUGCAUAGUUCAAGAUAGGCCCAUGGCGGGUUUUGGCAAAGAUGGCAUUGAAAGAAUUCGUGUCAAGGUGGAGAUUGUUAGAAUUAUGUGACCCAAAUUCUAAGAGAUUGCUUGCAAGUCAAGUUAAACAAAAAUAUAUUUUCUUUCUAGAAGAUUUAGUAUUUAUUAGUAUAAUAUAUUUAGCAUUUAUUAGUAUAGUUUAUUUGACUUACUAAUUUAGCCUAUAAAUAGGCUCAUUUACAAUCUUAGAAUUAAAGAGACACCCAUUAGAUUAGAACUCAUAACACAUUCAGAGAAUUUUGUGUUUACGUUUGAGGGUUUUUUGUUUUUCGGGUUUUCGGGGUUUAGUUUUUAUCUCCAUCUUUUGUACUAUUCAUUCUUUUGCCAUUAUAGUAAAAUUAUCUUUGCCCGUGGUUUUUUAUCCUCUUUUGAGGGGUUUUUCCACGUUAAAUUUGUGUGUUCAUCUUCUCAAUUUCUUCUACUAUUUUUAUUUGUUCGUUGCUUAAUCGGGACGAUCCUAACAACCAUUAAUAUAUAAAACCAAAUAAGUAACAAGAAUGAAGUUUACUUUCUGAUAAUACUAAUCAAUAUGUAUCAUGAACUUAUAUCUCUUUUACUUUUCUCUUUUUCGUUAAAAUAUUUUGUCCUUAGCUUUGUUGUAUUAAUCGCUUAGUCCCCAGCCUCAAAUCUUUAUAUAUCUUAAUUCUUGGGCAAAUCUACAUUAAGAAAAUUACUUUGAAAAUUAUAACACGAAAUUGAUCGUUUAAUAAGCUACUAUCAUGGUAAAGAAUACUUGUAAUCUAUCUUAACUAGACAUUGUACUCAUGUUUGAAUAUGUGUUGGCCAUAUGAAAUCGAACAAAAAUGAAGGGUCCAACUCCAAAUAACUUAGCAUGUACUCACGUUUGAAAGUAAUUUUAGAACAAAGUAGAUUAUUUACAGUUUAUAUUAAAGAUGAAUUAACGCGAACAAGUAAAAAAUUCAGAAAGGAAAUAAAAUGACAAUUGAAUGAUGUGUUUUGAACUAUCAUUACUGAUGGAUAGGAGUGUUACACUAAUCACCAUCUCUAGUUCUCCACCCGGGGAGACUUAUAUCAGCUCUCCAAGGCAAAAAGGAUGGAGAAAAAAAUGUUUACAUGUAUUAGUGAUGUUUACUUUACAAAAUUGUAUCACCUGAUUUGUGUUAAUCAUCUCACAAUUACUACAAGCGAGAGGUAACUUCGAGAAAGGUGUCUUCAUUGCAGGGAAUCGUGAGACCACCAGUAGGAUGACUAUAUCCGAACUCUUCUUGUGACAUGCCUAGCAAAUCUUGAAAUGAAGGCUGGUUUAAGAACGACACCGGUAUCACGAACCUCUUCUGGUUUUCUCCAACAUAAACUGCAAAGUAGCCCUUGGGAACCUUCUUAGAGUUA